GAGGCAGGGGGGUCAACACCCGACAGCGCGUCGCGCCCUCGGGUGCUUUGGUG
This 53-nucleotide small RNA is filed under the name Hyphomicrobium nitrativorans NL23. RNAcentral's name for it is "Hyphomicrobium sp. NL23 ffh sRNA". It matches the Rfam family "ffh sRNA". The record is from Rfam by way of RNAcentral. Lineage: Bacteria; Pseudomonadati; Pseudomonadota; Alphaproteobacteria; Hyphomicrobiales; Hyphomicrobiaceae.